GUAGAUCAUCUACUUUUGUGAAGUUCUAUUUUAAAAAUGUAUCAUUUGAUUUUCUUAAAGAAUAAUGUUUUUCUCCCCGGCGAGUUAUUUUCCGGAAAGUGAACUGUUUUUAAGUCAACAGUAUGGAACAUAUCAUAUAUAUGACGGCCACAAGUAGUGGUUUAUCCAUCAUAUAUUUUUUUUUUUUUAAAUAUAUUGUUUAAAUAUGUGGGAAAGUGAAUAAGAAUACAUGAUUUGUGCUGUGUACAGUUAUUAUUGUGUAUAUAAGAGGGACUGUUGUAGCAGUUUUUAUGAAAUAGAAGAUAUAGAAAACUCUGGAAUGAGAAGAUCUACUAUAAUUGUUGGAGUGGUCAGAAAGUACCUGAACCCGCCUCCAAAGAGGGACUGCUUUGGGAAGGAAUCCUAAAGUACAUAUGUCAGACUACUUUCUGAGGCCUUCGAAGGCGCCAAGGAAAGUGAUUCGAGCAUGAGGUCGUGUGGAGAGGAAACUACGAUACGCAUGCGCGAAAGUUGUUUAUUUCCGGUAGUCGUCUAUUAUGCGGCGCCUACCGUAUAGCGAGUUAUUUUCGGGCCGAGA
Long non-coding RNA from Dreissena polymorpha, 577 nucleotides. RefSeq lists it as uncharacterized. The record is from RefSeq and is a predicted model, not a curated record. The transcript is spliced from 2 exons. Lineage: Eukaryota; Metazoa; Mollusca; Bivalvia; Myida; Dreissenidae.